GGGACUGGGGCUCAGCGGUAGAGCACUCAUCUCCCAUGUGUGAGGCCCUGGGUUCGAUCCUCAGCACCA
This is a non-coding RNA of Ictidomys tridecemlineatus (thirteen-lined ground squirrel), 69 nucleotides long. Lineage: Eukaryota; Metazoa; Chordata; Mammalia; Rodentia; Sciuridae. The record is from Rfam.